CCUACGGGUGACUGCAGUGAGGAAUAUUGGUCAAUGGGCGCGAGCCUGAACCAGCCAAGUAGCGUGAAGGAUGACUGCCCUACGGGUUGUAAACUUCUUUUAUAAAGGAAUAAAGUGAGGCACGUGUGCCUUUUUGUAUGUACUUUAUGAAUAAGGAUCGGCUAACUCCGUGCCAGCAGCCGCGGUAAUACGGAGGAUCCGAGCGUUAUCCGGAUUUAUUGGGUUUAAAGGGAGCGUAGAUGGGUUGUUAAGUCAGUUGUGAAAGUUUGCGGCUCAACCGUAAAAUUGCAAGUGAUACUGGGAGGACUGAGUAUAGUUGAAGGAGGGCGAAUUGGGGGGGUAGCGGGGAAAUGCUUAGAUAUGA
This 364-nucleotide ribosomal RNA is filed under the name uncultured bacterium. RNAcentral describes it as "partial 16S ribosomal RNA". It matches the Rfam family "Bacterial small subunit ribosomal RNA", at positions 338 to 699 of the family's 1533-position model. The record is from RNAcentral.